UGCUAUACUUCUGGGAUACUGACUUUC
RNAcentral lists this non-coding RNA (27 nucleotides) under Mus musculus (house mouse). The record is from RNAcentral. Lineage: Eukaryota; Metazoa; Chordata; Mammalia; Rodentia; Muridae.